UACGUAGGGGGCGAGCGUUGUCCGGAAUCAUUGGGCGUAAAGCGCACGUAGGCGGUCUGUUAUGUCGGAUGUGAAAGCCCUUGGCUCAACUGAGGAAGUGCAUCCGAAACUGGCAGGCUGGAGUACUAAAGAGGGUCGCGGAAUUCCCGGUGUAGAGGUGAAAUUCGUAGAUAUCGGGAGGAACACCGGUGGCGAAGGCGGCGACCUGGGUAGAUACUGACGCUGAGGUGCGAAAGCGUGGGGAGCAAACAGG
This 253-nucleotide ribosomal RNA is filed under the name uncultured bacterium. RNAcentral describes it as "partial 16S ribosomal RNA". It matches the Rfam family "Bacterial small subunit ribosomal RNA", at positions 524 to 776 of the family's 1533-position model. The record is from RNAcentral.